AAAGUGCGAUAUGAAGUGCGAUUUGCAUGAUCUGUGAGUCAUCAUAUUUUUGAACGCAACAUGCGCCCAGUGAUGGGCAUGUCUGUUUGAGAGUCGAGUCUAAUGACUGGUGUGUGUUGUGCUAUGUGCGUUGUGUAUGGUAACACAUGAUAACGCACACACACAGCGCCCACCGAGUUGGCUGGGGAGCGCAAGCUCGCCGGCUAAAUCAGAGCACGAAACAGGUCGCGCCGCGUGACAAGGACACGUCCUCUCGUGGACGACAUGUCCUCUCGCGGACCAACCUAACAAAUACAAAUAUGACCUCAAAUCAGGCAGGACUACCCGCUGAACUUAA
RNAcentral lists this unclassified non-coding RNA (337 nucleotides) under uncultured fungus. RNAcentral describes it as "sequence contains ITS1". The stretch from base 1 to 96 matches the Rfam family "5.8S ribosomal RNA", at positions 50 to 154 of the family's 154-position model. The record is from RNAcentral. Lineage: Eukaryota; Fungi.